Molecule: ribosomal RNA, 253 nt
Filed under: uncultured bacterium
Lineage: Bacteria
Description: partial 16S ribosomal RNA
Rfam family: Bacterial small subunit ribosomal RNA
Source: RNAcentral
UACGUAGGUGGCAAGCGUUGUCCGGAUUCACUGGGUUUAAAGGGUGCGUAGGCGGGCAAGUAAGUCAGUGGUGAAAUCUCCGGGCUUAACUCGGAAACUGCCGUUGAUACUAUUUAUCUUGAAUAUCAUGGAGGUAAGCGGAAUAUGUCAUGUAGCGGUGAAAUGCUUAGAUAUGACAUAGAACACCGAUAGCGAAGGCAGCUUACUACAUGUUAAUUGACGCUGAGACGCGAAAGCGUGGGGAGCAAACAGG